This 404-nucleotide ribosomal RNA is filed under the name uncultured prokaryote. RNAcentral describes it as "bacterial SSU rRNA". It matches the Rfam family "Bacterial small subunit ribosomal RNA", at positions 355 to 774 of the family's 1533-position model. The record is from RNAcentral.
UGGGGAAUAUUGGGCAAUGGGGGAAACCCUGACCCAGCGACGCCGCGUGGGUGAAGAAAUCCCUCAGGAUGUAAAGCCCUGUUGUAUGGGAAGAGCAGAAGACGGUACCAUACGAGGAAGCCCCGGCAAACUACGUGCCAGCAGCCGCGGUAAUACGUAGGGGGCAAGCGUUGUCCGGAAUUACUGGGCGUAAAGCGCACGCAGGCUGAAUUAUAAGUCGGUAGUCAAAUACGGAGGCUCAACUUCCGGAUAUCUAUCGAUACUGUAAAUCUAGAGUAUGUGAGAGGGAAGCGGAAUUCCCGGUGUAGCGGUGAAAUGCGUAGAUAGCGGGAGGAACACCAGUGGCGAAGGCGGCUUCCUGGCACAAUACUGACGCUCAUGUGCGAAAGCUAGGGCAGCGAACG